Molecule: microRNA, 22 nt
Filed under: Cavia porcellus (domestic guinea pig)
Lineage: Eukaryota; Metazoa; Chordata; Mammalia; Rodentia; Caviidae
Description: cpo-miR-1298-5p
Source: miRBase by way of RNAcentral
UUCAUUCAGAUGUUCAGAUGUA